Molecule: ribosomal RNA, 253 nt
Filed under: uncultured bacterium
Lineage: Bacteria
Description: partial 16S ribosomal RNA
Rfam family: Bacterial small subunit ribosomal RNA
Source: RNAcentral
UACAGAGGUCUCGAGCGUUGUUCGGAUUCAUUGGGCGUAAAGGGCGCGUAGGCGGCGGGGUAAGUCUGGUGUGAAAUCUCGGGGCUUAACUCCGAAACUGCAUUCGAUACUGCCGUGCUUGAGGACUGGAGAGGAGACUGGAAUUUACGGUGUAGCGGUGAAAUGCGUAGAUAUCGUAAGGAAGACCAGUGGCGAAGGCGGGUCUCUGGACAGUUCCUGACGCUGAGGCACGAAGGUCAGGGGAGCAAACGGG